RNAcentral lists this ribosomal RNA (281 nucleotides) under uncultured Syntrophus sp. RNAcentral describes it as "partial 16S ribosomal RNA". It matches the Rfam family "Bacterial small subunit ribosomal RNA", at positions 1100 to 1382 of the family's 1533-position model. Lineage: Bacteria; Pseudomonadati; Thermodesulfobacteriota; Syntrophia; Syntrophales; Syntrophaceae. The record is from RNAcentral.
AACCCUUGUCUUUAAUUGCCAUCAUUAAGCUGGGCACUUUAAAGAGACUGCCGGUGUUAAGCCGGAGGAAGGUGGGGAUGACGUCAAGUCCUCAUGGCCUUUAUGUCCAGGGCUACACACGUGCUACAAUGGGUGGUACAAAGAGCCGCGAACUCGCGAGAGCAAGCAAAUCUCAAAAAACCAUCCUCAGUUCGGAUUGGAGUCUGCAACUCGACUCCAUGAAGUUGGAAUCGCUAGUAAUCGCGGAUCAGCAUGCCGCGGUGAAUACGUUCCCGGGCCUU